Molecule: long non-coding RNA, 1713 nt
Organism: Neogale vison (American mink)
Lineage: Eukaryota; Metazoa; Chordata; Mammalia; Carnivora; Mustelidae
Exons: 3
Source: RefSeq, a predicted model, not a curated record
GGGGUGAGCGGGCUUCGGCGAGCCCGACGAGGCGCAGGCCUGCCCCGGGCCCCGCAGGAAAUACUGACCUCUGCGGAAAAGGGGAGAGGGUGGGCGGCAUGCCUGCAGCGGAGGAGGACACAGAGACCCAAACCAUUUGGAAAGCAUCCUGGUCUGGAGUCUGAGGCCUGAAAAUUAAUGGCGGCUGGGAUUCCGGGGAGGUCUCCCAGGACAGGAAAAGGAGGGGAAUCUCAACAUGGAAAAACUCUGCAAUGGAGAUGAAGGAAUGCCUGAGAAAAAAGGGAAGAUGGAAUACAAAGAACAGCCAGAGGAUGUGGGAAGGCCAGAAUUAGCUUGUACUCUGGAAGACAAGGAAAAGUUAGAAAACAAGGGAAAGACAGAAAAUGAGGAAAUACUGAAGGACAAGGAAAGGCCAGGGAGUGUGGAAAAGCCAAAAGAGGGAAAGCCAAAAAGAAGAAGGAAAACCCACGAGUGAGGGGAAGCCAGAGAGCAAGGGACAGCCAAAAGAAGGAGAAGCAGGGAUCAAGGGAGAACCAAAAGAAAUAAAAUCAGAGAGUGAGGAAAAAAAAUCAGAGCCAAUGAAAAGAGGGAAAGUCAGAGAGCCAGGAAAAGCCAAAAGAAGACGAAAAGUCAGCCAGGGAACCAAAGGCUGUGGAAAGCACCAGCUGGGAAUGAUGUACCCAGGCAGGCCAAAAGAAAAACCAGCAAGGGGCUGGCUCAGUGUCUCAAGGAAUAUGAGGAGGCCAUACACAAUAUGCAUUUGAACAAUGAGGAGAUGGUAAGAGAAUUUGAUGAGAUUGGCAGGGUGGAGGAUUAGGUGAAGGAAACCAGACAGAAAUUGGGGGGGUGGUGGUUAUGAGGUCACAAAAAUGUUUACAGGACCCUUUCCACCCUGGGGGCCAAAGGAACUCAGGGGUGGAUGUAGAGCCCCACAAAGGGGCUAUGAAGACAUUCCUUUUGUGUAGUGCCCCUGGCAAGCAUUUGCCAGGUCCUCUGCCUUAACCUUAUGCUAAUAAUUUGCUUUAGCUGUCACUCUCAUUGUCAGCAGCCUUUUGAGCCAACUAGAACACUCUAUCAGUAGGGGUUUCCACCCAUGUGCUUUGCAAAGUCGUUUUAAUUCUUGAAAAAUAAAGUAUCUUAUAAUACCAUCUACAGAAUCAGUCCACCUUUAUAGAAAACAUAAGUUUAUAUACUACAUCUAUGCACAGGAAAAACAGAAACUUUCGUUCACCAAAAGGUUAACAGUGGUUCUCUGAAUUAUAAGACUGUUGAUGACUUAUUUUCUUUGUUUUGUUUCUACUCAUAUUUUUUCCCUAAAGAACACAGACUACUUUUCUCAUAAAGAAAUACUAAAAUAUAAAAAGAAAAAUAAUACACGAAAGAAAUACAAAGAUCUCUUCAGUGAGUUUAUGAAGGCAACGGAGACACUUAAAUUUCUUAUCAGAACUUAAAACUAUGUGUAAGGCUCACAUUAUCUCUAGGACUCAAAUUUAGGGGAAUCAACCUGGCAGUUACUACAGACCCAUUGCUGUAAAAGACAGUUUUGUCAUUUGUGAAAUGUGAAUACUUGCCUCAUAGGAUUGCCGAGUAGAAUAGAUGAGGUGCUGAGUAUGUGAACUGUGCUUGUCUAGUUUCUACCUUUUCUCCUACACUGGCAGGGACCAAGACCCCCCCCAUCAGACUUGGAAAGGGAUAAGGUACAGCUUACCUAUG